RNAcentral lists this non-coding RNA (25 nucleotides) under Rattus norvegicus (Norway rat). The record is from RNAcentral. Lineage: Eukaryota; Metazoa; Chordata; Mammalia; Rodentia; Muridae.
UACCAUGCCAGCAGACUUACCUGAU